CCUACGGGUGGCAGCAGUGAGGAAUAUUGGUCAAUGGCCGGAAGGCUGAACCAGCCAAGUCGCGUGCGGGACGACUGCCCUAUGGGUUGUAAACCUCUUUUAUAAGGGAAUAAUAAGUGCUACGUGUAGCAUUAUGCCUGUUCCUUAUGAAUAAGCAUCGGCUAAUUCCGUGCCAGCAGCCGCGGUAAUACGGAGGAUGCGAGCGUUAUCCGGAUUUAUUGGGUUUAAAGGGUGCUUAGGCGGAUGUUUAAGUUAGUGGUAAAAGGUCGGGGCUUCACCGGGGUUUGCAAUUACUACUGUUAGACUUGAGUCCAGACGAGGCAGGCGGAAUAAGUCAAGUAGCGGUGAAAUGCUUAGAUAUAACUUAGAACUCCGAUAGCGAAGGCAGCUUACCAGACUGCGACUGACGCUGAAGCACGAGAGCGUGGGUAGCGAACAGGAUUAGAUACCCGGGUAGUC
This 459-nucleotide ribosomal RNA is filed under the name uncultured bacterium. Its description in RNAcentral is "partial 16S ribosomal RNA". It matches the Rfam family "Bacterial small subunit ribosomal RNA", at positions 338 to 795 of the family's 1533-position model. The record is from RNAcentral.